AGAAUCACAGAGCUGGAAAUGACCCAGAAGGCCAACCCUUGGACUGUGGUCCUCAGAUGAUAGGAGGACUUGGUCUCCAGGACUUUGGCUUCUCAUGUGUCAGAAUUUGAUCGACACCUUUGAGUUCAAACCUGCACUCAACCAUGGGUUCAAUGGAAGACCUUGGGUCAGUAGCGUCUUUCCUGAUUUACGGAAGAGUCAAACUGGAAUAACCUGGGAAUCACCUGUUUGCUUAUGGUAGAUGAAGUGCCCGGAGCCAGACAUAAGUAAUUUAGCAGCUGAUCAAUUAUGCUGUAGCGGAAUACAGGCUAAUGAGCCUGCCACCUGUUGCUGGAACCUAGCCAAGCAGCAUCAAGAUGCUCAGCAAACCCCCUUCCCCACAUUAAAGAGCUGUUGAAACUUCA
Molecule: long non-coding RNA, 404 nt
Organism: Podarcis raffonei (Aeolian wall lizard)
Lineage: Eukaryota; Metazoa; Chordata; Lepidosauria; Squamata; Lacertidae
Exons: 3
Source: RefSeq, a predicted model, not a curated record